Molecule: ribosomal RNA, 253 nt
Filed under: uncultured bacterium
Lineage: Bacteria
Description: partial 16S ribosomal RNA
Rfam family: Bacterial small subunit ribosomal RNA
Source: RNAcentral
UACGAAGGGGGCUAGCGUUGCUCGGAAUGACUGGGCGUAAAGGGCGCGUAGGCGGAUGGCACAGUCAGAUGUGAAAUUCCCGGGCUUAACCUGGGGGCUGCAUUUGAUACGUGUGAUCUAGAGUGAGGAAGAGGGUCGUGGAAUUCCCAGUGUAGAGGUGAAAUUCGUAGAUAUUGGGAAGAACACCGGUUGCGAAGGCGGCGACCUGGUCCUUGACUUACGCUGAGGCGCGAAAGCGUGGGGAGCAAACAGG